This is a long non-coding RNA of Drosophila pseudoobscura, 626 nucleotides long. RefSeq lists it as uncharacterized. NCBI's taxonomy places the organism in Eukaryota, Metazoa, Arthropoda, Insecta, Diptera, Drosophilidae. The transcript has 2 exons. The record is from RefSeq and is a predicted model, not a curated record.
ACAUGAAAAAAUUUUGUGUUAUUUCUCAACUUUAACUUAACUUAAAUAAAAACCGAACUUCAAUCGUUCUAAAAGCCUAACCGCACUGAGCUGCAGAAUGAGCUUUAACGUUUCUACAGUUCGUAUUUUAAAUUGAGAAACGGAAACAGUGCGUCGACCGUUGGGUUGACGAGAGGGGUUGCAACCUCUUACUGCCGUGAUUUCACGUCUGAUUUGAUGCCGUCGCCCGUUUCACUACUCUUCUGCGUAAAAGAAGAUUCGUAUGCUUUCUCAACAUGGACACCAUUUUUCAUGUAAAGUCGAGGCAGCCGAACAGCCUGAAUUUGGAUGUAGUUUCGGUCUGAGCUGCAGCGUCGAUCUUUAUCUUUCUAUUUCCUUGUGCGAUGCGUAGCCAUGAUACCGUUUUCACAUUCCCAUGGUCAGAAAUGUAUCCUUCAAGUCCUGCGUAAAACUAUAACUCAAAAAAUCUACGCCUUUAAUGAUGUCGGCCACAAUGAAAUCCUGUCCUAGGUUCGUCUUCUAAGCUUCUUUGUAACCACGCGUCUCCACCUGUAGCUGUUUGUAGUCCUAUCUCAUUCAGAGACUCCACAUUUAUUUUAACUAAACUUCUAAAUGUUAAAUGAGAA